ACUGAAAUGGGUCAGGACAAUCAGUUGCAACCCAGAGUGCUUGCAACCAUCUUGCCACAACCUCUCAAUUAACUACUCCAAAAAAAGGGGGUGGUAUUUGCAACUGGGCUUGUCGACAAUUGCCAGCACUUGGAGAUAAAAAAUAUAUCCACCAGCUCAGUGAUUAGUGUAGCAAGAAAACGGACAGUGAAACAAGAUACUGAAAUGUACUUUAUUGCUGGGACAGAAUAUUCUUUCACACCAUGAAACUGGCUUCGGAUCAGCCCAUCAAGAUAUUGGGAGACCACCCUUGCCAGGACAAGGACAAGUCAUUCUGCUUACCCCUUACCCCUGUCCCACCCCAAAGGUGAGUAGGGGGGCCUUCUCGCAUCACCACCCCCUGAGGUCAUACAACUACGGGUGGAUGAGUCUAUACUUCAGCAGCAGUUGUCCGGAAAUGGAUUAUGCCAGCAGGAUUCUCCUUUAAGAAGCUCUGCAUGCACAUUCUUCUUCCCUCCAACACUAGAUGAUCCCAGUUCCCCUCUCACCUUAGAUGGAAACCAAGAUACAACAAAGCUCCAUCUUCACACAUGUUUCAAGCUCAACAUUUCUUCUGAGGAACACUACAGCUUCUCCUUCUGUUCUGCAGUGCUACCUUUCAGGACCCCACCUAUAUUAAACUGCAGGUUGUUGCACCUGCUGUGACUUGUUUUUCUUUUCCAAAGGUCAGAUAUCACCUGCAAAUGCUCAUGCUACAGUAAGCCAGCGUCUGAAGGCAUAUAUGCCUUCUGUGGUCUGUUCUGAUAUAAUUGGCCCAAUCUGAGUACUGUCAAACUCCCCACUGAGUUAAUUGGGCUUUGUAUCAGGCUUAUAGAUCCUAGAACUGCCUGUCAAAGAAAAGAUGGUAUUUAGUGAUUUGCAGAAUGUAUCCACAUGAUGAGGAGGAUCUAAACAUGGGGACACGUGACCCUGGACUUCUCUUCUUCAUAACCUGCCACUGAAUUAUCAUAUAACCUUAAGCAAAUCCUCUCCCCACUUUUUUGGUCUGUUUCAGUUUCUCCUCCUUGGGGGAAAAAUGCAGUUAUAAACAUUUACCAAGCUGCUGUGAAUUUAAUUAAUUUGUGUUUUCUGCAGAGCCUUGAAACUUUAAUGCAUGUUGUAACUGCCAAAUGCUAUUAUUAUUGUGCCACUAACAAUAGCAUCCAUCAGCAAAUGAUCUAAUCUAUAUAACUAAAAAUAUCAAGAGAUAAAGGCUUUUGGAAGCUUCAAACGGAGGAGCCACCAAAGCGUAUUCUGAAACGAACGAUUGCUUGGCAGCAGACUUGAAGAAUUUACCAAAGAAUCUGUACCCCUUUCCAAUCACAAAUGGCCUCACGUAGGAUAUUCAUUAGGCUUUAUUUUGAACAGACAGAAGAUCUUUUGAAAGUUCUUGUGUAAAAUAAAGCUAAGGGUGUUUUUUUUUUGCUACACAAAGAACACACAAAAGCUUUUCAUCUUACUGCCAUUCAUACUUUGAUCCCUUUGCAUGGGCAACCGGUGGUUUACCUAACCCUUUUCAUGGAUCUUACAUAUAAUUAUUUUGUUUUUUCAUUCCUCAACCUCUUAUGAAACUGCUCAGUUAAAAGGAUAUCUCUGUGUUGACAAUGGUAACAGAAGGAGAAACGAAAUAUGGUAGCAUGAUUAGUAUGCAUAGGAAUUCUCAGGUCCUUCUAGCAUAAGAGUAAGAAGCUUUCACAGUUCACUGUCUUAAGAUGUUUGUUUUUCUACAUGGCACAUAGUCUGCUGUUUUUAAGAAACCUGCAGUUCUUGAAUGUCUCCCACCCACCACUUAACCCAGUCGGGAGGGUGCAGGCUGGAAAUGGAGGGGAGAACAAGUUUCAUAGGUCUAGUGGUGAAGUCUCAGUAGAGCUAAUAUAUUACUAAAUGAGAGACUGGAGUCUUUUCCAAGUUAUCCCCUCAGAUGAGAUACAUUGAGGUAGCUUCUCAACACUUGUGAUAUGGAGAGUGGCGUAUAUUAUCUGCCUGUGCAAGUAAAAGCAGUUCAACACACAGACACACACAUGCACACACAUGUCCUGUGCUUAAAAAACAGCUCCUCACAAGGGCAUCUAGACAUUAGAUUUGCAAAUAGCCUUCCUCUGCCUGCUGUGAUUCAGUUAGUGAUCUCAGUAUAUUUUUAGCAUAUAUAUUUGAGAGUUGGUGUGGAGGGUGCCUAUGAAUAUGACAUGAAAAGCUCCCAGUUCAAAGUCUGAGUGAUUUUAAAGACAACAUAACUUCCUAUGGUAAUGCAAAGGCUAAGAACACAAUCCAUUCAAAAUUAAACUUUAAAGAGUUUAAAUCUGGGUAGAUCAUGCCUUACUAAAUCAAUUCUGUCAGAGAUUUUCAUGGGGUAAAACCAAUUUGUGUGGAAAUUAUUUUAUGUAUUUAUUCUUACAUUUCUAUCCCAUCUUGUCUCCAAGGAGCUCAAGAUGGUGUACAUGAUGAUCCAUCUCCACAUGUUCUGCUCACAACAACCCUGUGAGGUAGGCUAAGCCGAGAGCCCAAGGCCACCCAGUAAACUUCAUGGCUGAGUGGGGAUUUGAACCCUGAUCUCCCAAGUCCUACAUAGUCCAACACUAACUACUACACCACCCUGGACUCUCAUCAUGUCCACUUCAGAAUGGAUCCAUAAACACAGAUCACCACUGUGUGAGCUUUAAACUCAGUCAUGCUGUUGAUGAAAUAAUUAUGUGUGUGUAAUGGACCCUUGAGAUCUCUGUCUCUCUCUUCUAUCACAAAUUCAUGAUUGCUCGGUUGGUUGGUUAAGAAAAAGUUUAUCCUGUUCUUAAGAAUCCCAGAUUAAAACACUUAUAUUGCAAUCCUAUACAUGGGGUGUGUUGUUGUUCAGGAAUGUCGGUUUGGGUCGAAGUUUAAUUCUGCAGGACAAUUAUUUUUGCUGUUAUGGGGACUAUGUUUUUGUAUUUGGACCUUAUGAAUUGUAAUGACAUUAUUUCAAUUUAUUGUAUGUUUCUUAAUGUUUUUUAAACUUAUUAUUUGACUAUUUCAAUUUUGUU
Long non-coding RNA from Rhineura floridana, 3032 nucleotides. RefSeq lists it as uncharacterized. The record is from RefSeq and is a predicted model, not a curated record. Lineage: Eukaryota; Metazoa; Chordata; Lepidosauria; Squamata; Rhineuridae. The transcript has 5 exons.